Molecule: non-coding RNA, 148 nt
Filed under: Nomascus leucogenys (northern white-cheeked gibbon)
Lineage: Eukaryota; Metazoa; Chordata; Mammalia; Primates; Hylobatidae
Source: Rfam by way of RNAcentral
GCCGGGUGUGGUGGUGCAUGCCUGUAAUCCCACCUACUCAGGAGGCUGAGGCAGGAGAAUCACUUGAACCCAGGAGGUGGAGUUUGCAGUGUGCGGAGAUGGUGCCACUGCACUCCAGCCUGGGCAACAGAGUGAGACUCCGUCUCAA